Molecule: transfer RNA, 72 nt
Filed under: Candidatus Bathyarchaeota archaeon
Lineage: Archaea; Thermoproteati; Candidatus Bathyarchaeota
Description: tRNA-Lys
Rfam family: tRNA
About the family: Transfer RNA (tRNA) molecules are approximately 80 nucleotides in length. Their secondary structure includes four short double-helical elements and three loops (D, anti-codon, and T loops).
Source: RNAcentral
CGUCUCGGAGCAGCAUGGUAGAGCAGCAGGCUCUUAACCUGAGGGUCGAGGGUUCGAAUCCCUCCGGGCCCG